CUUAACACAUGCAAGUCGAACGAGAAGCCGAACUUCGGUUUGGUGGAAAGUGGCAGACGGGUGAGUAACGCGUGGGAAUUUACCCAAUGGUACGGAAUAACUCAGGGAAACUUGGGCUAAUACCGUAUGUGCCCGCAAGGGGAAAGAUUUAUCGCCAUUGGAUGAGCCCGCGUCUGAUUAGCUAGUUGGUGGGGUAAAGGCCUACCAAGGCGACGAUCAGUAGCUGGUCUGAGAGGAUGAUCAGCCACACUGGGACUGAGACACGGCCCAGACUCC
This 276-nucleotide ribosomal RNA is filed under the name uncultured bacterium. Its description in RNAcentral is "partial 16S ribosomal RNA". It matches the Rfam family "Bacterial small subunit ribosomal RNA", at positions 47 to 339 of the family's 1533-position model. The record is from RNAcentral.